This is a long non-coding RNA of Daphnia magna, 2348 nucleotides long. RefSeq lists it as uncharacterized. The transcript is spliced from 2 exons. Lineage: Eukaryota; Metazoa; Arthropoda; Branchiopoda; Diplostraca; Daphniidae. The record is from RefSeq and is a predicted model, not a curated record.
AUGCGUGGGUUGCUUCGAUCAUCGAUUUGAAUAAUCAUAAAAAUUAAAUAUGCAGCAAGCCAACGACGUAGAAUGAUUUCCUUUUUGCAAUUUCAUGAAACGAUACGAAACUUUGAUCGAGAAAAAGAUCCUUUUUCUCUCGAUGCAAAUGAGGCAGUGCUCCUGAUCGAGGUGAAACAAAGGUGAAGAAACCUUUUUAUGCAAAUUUAUGAAAUGGGUAAUGAGGCCGACUUGCAUCGUCUUACAAAGAAACAAACAUUUAAAUUCUUUGAAAUGAUAUUUUAGUUCAACAAUAUACAACUAGGCAGUCCAUAUUAUUCCUGAAUGUCAUUAGGCAUCGGUAUAAUUGCCUCGAGAAAAGCUGAAAAUGUGUUGGGUAAAUCAAACAUAAAAAAUGGAGGAGAAGUAAACAAAAUGAAAGGAUAGGAGAUGUAAAUCAUCACCUUGGUUUUCUCCACAAAAAAAAAGAAAAGGUGGGGUGAGGAAAUACCGAUGGAAUACAUUUUCAGUGAGUCUUAAGUCUUUCUCGUGUCGGCCAUUGUGAGUGAUGGUGUCACCAAGAAAAUUAUGGUGGAUGAUUCAAAACUUUGGCAAAAAUCCCAAUAAACAUCUCACAAAAAGUCAUUUACCUUUCUCGCUCAGUGUUGUGUCAAAUCAACUUUAAAUCUAAGAUGAAAUUCAGCAGACAAGAUUUCAAGAAGAAUGCUGAAUUGUUGACGACCAUCUUGUCGUCGACGUGGAAAAUCGGGAAACUCGGUCGAUGCAAAUCCAGACAACUGAGAAAAUCGAUGCCGACAUUCUGUCCAAAAGAAUUGACCAGGAGAUUGCUGUUGUUACAUGUCACAAGUUCUUUGCGAGCAAGCUCCCUAGGUGAUGUAUCUCGUGUUAUCGAAUCCACUUCAAAAAACGGGGGUGGGGCAACAAAUCCCAGAUCCCAGUUGGUGUAUCAUUCGAUUUGUUUGCGCAACCCUUUUCCAAUAUCUAUUAGAUGGCUGUUUUUUUUUUAAGUGUAUAUCCAAACAUUAUGUAAGGAUUACAUAAAAACGACAAUCCCCAUGUUUUCCAGAAACUAAUAAGAAAAAGCAGACGAAUAAAUCCCGACAGCGCGAGAUCAGUGGGUUUGUCUUCAUUGGAAUUUGGCCAACUUGGCCAAAUUGCAAUGACGAUGACUCUAUAGUUCGUUGAGGAAAGAAUGUGCUCGUUAUGAAACGUUCGUAAAUGAUUCAUCCGCAUCGUUUUGAUUCGUAGGGAAAUCUAUAUUUCCGCUGCAUUUUUGUUCAUUUCGAGAGUGUCAUGCAUAAAACCCGUGGCUUGCAACGUGCAGUUAACCGGGUCACUAGAAGUAAUUAAUCCGGUGAAAUGUCUACAAAGCUUCUAGUGUAUUACACGUAAUCACGCGUUUGAUUACACGAGAAAAAAAAAGGCGUAAACAGAAGAGCUAUGACGCAAUACUGCGCUCUUGUCAAGGCUGUACUAUACAAAUUGCGUUGCUUUUACAACUUCCAUGACCCGGAUUGUUUAAAAAUACAAAAGAUGCAAGACAUGGCCCGUUAACAAACAAUAAAAGACCUCAUAUCCUUUGCUAAUAUUACAUCUUUGGAAUACAAGCAGAGAUAUUGUACAUACACAGACGUGAGACACAGUCAGUGAACAGUUUAUCAACCAUAACUUCAAACACACAGCCCUUAAUUAGUAGCGGAGGAAGUAGAAAGUUUUGCUCUUCCUGAAGGGUGGGACACGAAAUAAAUUAACCAUUUGUUUUCGGGUUCCAAUUGUCGAUAGGUUUCUACGGAAUGGGACCGAGACGAACACAUGUUUUCAGGCAUACGGGGACCCCUACGGCCUCUAUACACAACGGAGUACCUACAGAGAUCAGAGAUUGUUUUCUUUCAUUUACUUUUCUUUUAAAAAGCUUUUCUAGAUUGUUUGUGCUUGAUCCAAUCGUUAAACGAAUUAACUGUCGCCAGCUGUGCGAAUCUUAACGUAGAUAUAAACCCGUCAUUGCAUCCAAUCUGACUGCGGGAACUGUUCGUUUGCCAGCUGUUUGUAUAUACACUGCUCCCCCCCUAGCUAACCAAUUAUCUGUUGCUACGUACCCCCCUAGGAUUAGCUAAAUAUAAUUUGCACUUGAUUGAUUCGCCUGCAAUGUUUUUGGGGGGACAUUUUAACCUAUGAGUCGCUCGGAAAGUGUUAGACAUUAAAGUUUGAUAUGGUUUUCCUUUACUGUUCGUUCAUCAAGUUUUCUUUUUAUUUGUAAGGCCCUAAGAAAAAAAACCAUGGUUAUGUACGUUUGCGUCUGUUUGUGUGUAACAAUGAACAAAAAAAAAAAAGGGAGAGUUGGAAACAGG